AUGUUUCUUCAAACUUCCGUUCCAAACGAAAAUAUUGGGCCCGUUGAAUUUGUAAAGUUCUUAAAGCAGCAUGAUUAUUUCCGAUGCAAGUAUUGCAUACAGAGUUCCGUUGACCAUCCCUAUAACUGUUGCAUCAACAGAACAAAGCUUUUCAAAAUCGAAGCUAUUGAGGUCUUAUAUGUGCACUACCAUGACACAACAAAGACUUACUGA
This 213-nucleotide ribosomal RNA is filed under the name Triticum aestivum (bread wheat). Its description in RNAcentral is "partial small subunit ribosomal RNA". Lineage: Eukaryota; Viridiplantae; Streptophyta; Magnoliopsida; Poales; Poaceae. The record is from RNAcentral.